UGUAACUGAGUGUUUCUUGGCACGUUAUGUUUUGGUCGUAAAAGUAAUUGGUUAGUUAGUUACAG
This 65-nucleotide transfer RNA is filed under the name Fasciolopsis buskii. RNAcentral describes it as "Fasciolopsis buski tRNA-Gln". The record is from RNAcentral. Lineage: Eukaryota; Metazoa; Platyhelminthes; Trematoda; Plagiorchiida; Fasciolidae.